This 74-nucleotide transfer RNA is filed under the name Phanerochaete carnosa HHB-10118-sp. RNAcentral's name for it is "tRNA-Cys". Lineage: Eukaryota; Fungi; Basidiomycota; Agaricomycetes; Polyporales; Phanerochaetaceae. The record is from RNAcentral.
GGCCAGGUAGCUCAGUUGGAAGAGCAACCCAGCACAAUUGGGGAAGGCCCCAGGUUUGAUCCCUGGUCUGGCCA